AAGACACAAGUGCCUUUAUAACAUGUAAUAUUCCUAGACCUAUAUAUCUUUUUUUAAGCCUAUUCAUACAAAUAUUUAUUUCCCUUUUCAUUUUUUUUUUUUUUUUCUCCCAACAUAUUCUGAUGGUGCGAUCUGCCUGGUGGAGCCCCCUCACACCACAACAGACCUUGUAACUGAUGAAGAGUACGAGGAGACUUUGUCUGCUGCCUUCACAGAGGGGGAACCAGAAAGGCCUGUAGAGGGCAUGGCUGGGCAGCAGCAGGAAGGUCCCUCAACUUCAACUGCACAGAUUGACACAGUGAGAUGGAUGUUCAGUAAACACCAGAGGUUCAUUCUGUGGAAUUCAUGUGCAACUGUAUCAUUUAAUGUCCUCCUUAUGUAUUCCCAGUUACCAGUGAAAGACAUCUAUAAAAUAUUUCUGCUGAAAAUAAUUGAAAAACCAACAAAGAAAUGCAGUUCUUGGACCGCCAGAUGAGAAGGGCAGAUCUCGAAAUUGAAUUACUAGAGCACAAGUUAGAGGAAAUAAAGAAG
Molecule: long non-coding RNA, 531 nt
Organism: Notolabrus celidotus (New Zealand spotty)
Lineage: Eukaryota; Metazoa; Chordata; Actinopteri; Labriformes; Labridae
Exons: 4
Source: RefSeq, a predicted model, not a curated record